RNAcentral lists this ribosomal RNA (110 nucleotides) under Pteropus alecto (black flying fox). Lineage: Eukaryota; Metazoa; Chordata; Mammalia; Chiroptera; Pteropodidae. The record is from RNAcentral.
GUCUACGGCCAUGCCACCCUGAACAUACCUGAUCCCAUCUGAUUAAACAGGGUCAGGCCUGGUUAGUACUUGGAUGGGAGACCACCUAAGAAUACUAGGUGCUGUAGGCA